This 481-nucleotide ribosomal RNA is filed under the name uncultured bacterium. RNAcentral describes it as "partial 16S ribosomal RNA". It matches the Rfam family "Bacterial small subunit ribosomal RNA", at positions 30 to 507 of the family's 1533-position model. The record is from RNAcentral.
AUUGAACGCUGGCGGCAUGCUUUACACAUGCAAGUCGAACGGUAACAGGCCGCAAGGUGCUGACGAGUGGCGAACGGGUGAGUAAUGCAUCGGAACGUGCCCAGUCGUGGGGGAUAACUACUCGAAAGAGUAGCUAAUACCGCAUACGAUCUAUGGAUGAAAGCGGGGACCGUAAGGCCUCGCGCGAUUGGAGCGGCCGAUAUCAGAUUAGGUAGUUGGUGGGGUAAAGGCUCACCAAGCCAACGAUCUGUAGCUGGUCUGAGAGGACGACCAGCCACACUGGGACUGAGACACGGCCCAGACUCCUACGGGAGGCAGCAGUGGGGAAUUUUGGACAAUGGGCGCAAGCCUGAUCCAGCAAUGCCGCGUGCAGGAAGAAGGCCUUCGGGUUGUAAACUGCUUUUGUACGGAACGAAACGGCUCUGGUUAAUACCCGGGGCUAAUGACGGUACCGUAAGAAUAAGCACCGGCUAACUACGUG